Molecule: ribosomal RNA, 798 nt
Filed under: Rhodococcus sp. (in: high G+C Gram-positive bacteria)
Lineage: Bacteria; Bacillati; Actinomycetota; Actinomycetes; Mycobacteriales; Nocardiaceae
Description: bacterial SSU rRNA
Rfam family: Bacterial small subunit ribosomal RNA
Source: RNAcentral
GCGGCGAACGGGUGAGUAACACGUGGGUGAUCUGCCCUGCACUCUGGGAUAAGCUUGGGAAACUGGGUCUAAUACCGGAUAUGACCGCAUGCCGCAUGGUGUGUGGUGGAAAGAUUUAUCGGUGCAGGAUGGGCCCGCGGCCUAUCAGCUUGUUGGUGGGGUAAUGGCCUACCAAGGCGACGACGGGUAGCCGACCUGAGAGGGUGACCGGCCACACUGGGACUGAGACACGGCCCAGACUCCUACGGGAGGCAGCAGUGGGGAAUAUUGCACAAUGGGCGGAAGCCUGAUGCAGCGACGCCGCGUGAGGGAUGAAGGCCUUCGGGUUGUAAACCUCUUUCAGCAGGGACGAAGCGUGAGUGACGGUACCUGCAGAAGAAGCACCGGCUAACUACGUGCCAGCAGCCGCGGUAAUACGUAGGGUGCGAGCGUUGUCCGGAAUUACUGGGCGUAAAGAGUUCGUAGGCGGUUUGUCGCGUCGUUUGUGAAAACCCGGGGCUCAACUUCGGGCUUGCAGGCGAUACGGGCAGACUUGAGUGUUUCAGGGGAGACUGGAAUUCCUGGUGUAGCGGUGAAAUGCGCAGAUAUCAGGAGGAACACCGGUGGCGAAGGCGGGUCUCUGGGAAACAACUGACGCUGAGGAACGAAAGCGUGGGUAGCAAACAGGAUUAGAUACCCUGGUAGUCCACGCCGUAAACGGUGGGCGCUAGGUGUGGGUUCCUUCCACGGGAUCUGUGCCGUAGCUAACGCAUUAAGCGCCCCGCCUGGGGAGUACGGCCGCAAGGCUAAAACUCAAAG